AUUUGCAUCAGUUCCUGCGAGAAAACACACUUAGGGCCCUUAGUUUGGCCAAAAAAGUAGAAAACCAAAACUCACAAUCGGUGGGGCUCUUCGAUGCGGCGGCUCCUCUGGCUCACAUUGUGAUUGGGUGUUUUGCUCCGGUCAACCUGUAGAGAAGGAAACGGUGAUCACAACGGUGAAAAAAUUAUAUCGAACGAGAAUCGGGAAGGACUUCAUCGAAGGCAUUUUUCGAAAUACCCAGCGGCGGCGCCGCCGGACUUUGCCAGCAUUUUUCAGCCAAUUGGCCAGUCUUUUUGCUCUGAUUUCAUCAUGGGUGUGUUUAAAAUUAAAUUCUGAGCAAAGGGUAAAAUUUUACCUCGUUUGGGGGUCAGAAAUUGCCCCAGUGCGGC
Molecule: long non-coding RNA, 389 nt
Filed under: Carica papaya (papaya)
Lineage: Eukaryota; Viridiplantae; Streptophyta; Magnoliopsida; Brassicales; Caricaceae
Description: long non-coding RNA (CPAP_LNC013976)
Source: RNAcentral